Molecule: non-coding RNA, 91 nt
Organism: Drosophila virilis
Lineage: Eukaryota; Metazoa; Arthropoda; Insecta; Diptera; Drosophilidae
Source: Rfam
UCGUAACUUGUGUGGCUUGAAUGUACCUGGUUGAGGAACGAAUUCAACGUUUGGAUUUUGUUGCCUUUGGUAUUCGAGCCAAUAAGUUCGG